UGGCGGCAUGCCUUACACAUGCAAGUCGAACGGCAGCACGGGAGCUUGCUCCUGGUGGCGAGUGGCGAACGGGUGAGUAAUACAUCGGAACGUACCCUGAAGUGGGGGAUAACGUAGCGAAAGUUACGCUAAUACCGCAUAUUCUGUGAGCAGGAAAGAGGGGGAUCGCAAGACCUCUUGCUUUAGGAGCGGCCGAUGUCGGAUUAGCUAGUUGGUGAGGUAAAGGCUCACCAAGGCGACGAUCCGUAGCGGGUCUGAGAGGAUGAUCCGCCACACUGGGACUGAGACACGGCCCAGACUCCUACGGGAGGCAGCAGUGGGGAAUUUUGGACAAUGGGCGCGAGCCUGAUCCAGCCAUGCCGCGUGAGUGAAGAAGGCCUUCGGGUUGUAAAGCUCUUUCGGUGGGGAAGAAAUUGCUUCGGUUAAUACCUGGAGUAGAUGACGGUACCCGCAUAAGAAGCACCGGCUAACUACGUG
Molecule: ribosomal RNA, 477 nt
Filed under: uncultured bacterium
Lineage: Bacteria
Description: bacterial SSU rRNA
Rfam family: Bacterial small subunit ribosomal RNA
Source: RNAcentral